UACGAAGGGGGCUAGCGUUGUUCGGAAUUACUGGGCGUAAAGGGCGCGUAGGCGGCUCGUCAAGUCAGGCGUGAAAGCCCCGGGCUUAACCUGGGAUGUGCGCUUGAGACUGGCGGGCUUGAGUUCGGGAGAGGAUGGUGGAAUUCCCAGUGUAGAGGUGAAAUUCGUAGAUAUUGGGAAGAACACCGGUGGCGAAGGCGGCCAUCUGGACCGACACUGACGCUGAGGCGCGAAAGCGUGGGGAGCAAAC
This 250-nucleotide ribosomal RNA is filed under the name uncultured bacterium. RNAcentral's name for it is "partial 16S ribosomal RNA". It matches the Rfam family "Bacterial small subunit ribosomal RNA", at positions 524 to 773 of the family's 1533-position model. The record is from RNAcentral.